Molecule: non-coding RNA, 1140 nt
Organism: Cyanistes caeruleus (blue tit)
Lineage: Eukaryota; Metazoa; Chordata; Aves; Passeriformes; Paridae
Source: RefSeq, a predicted model, not a curated record
GGGCCGGGCCACCGGGCACGGUCGGAGUCUGGCCCCGAUCCCUGUCCCUCUCGGCGAAUUUCCGAGGGGCUGCGUGCUGUGAGGUGGUGUGCGGCUCCCUCGGACAGCUGCGAGCCGCUAACAGUGCACAAAAUGUCAGAUAAAUAAUCUGUUCUUUCCCCUUAAUAUUACUUUUUUAGCGAAGACCGCAAUUCCACGGGCUCUUUUCAGUUCAUUUGCGGAGUAGUCGGAAGUCCCGCAGGAAAAUCCACACUGUUUCUCCCAACAUGCGAGGCCAACCUUACGCAAAGGGAGAAAUGAGCAGGACAAAUCCUGAGGCUUCCCUUGCUCCAAGGCCAAAGUUCUUCUUUGGAGUUCUGGGGAAUGGCAGGGCUGAUCCCACCUGAAGAGGGGCAUUUCCUGCAGCUGGCAGUGUCGGGUUGAAGGAGCCCCAGUAAAGCAAGCAGAGGGGCUCAGACAGCAACUCCUGCUUCUGAGCUUCCACAACGGCUGCCAGGUGUGCCCCGGCCACCCCAAAUACCUUCCCUACCAGCUGGGGGACAUCAUCCAUCAGCAGCAUUAAAGCCAAGGUUAAGAUGGGCACAGCUCUAGGUGGCCCAUAGCUUGGGGUUCAUCUCAGAAGGAGGGACUUCAUUUGGUCACAGAGAAGACGUGCCUUCCCUGCAAGGAGCAGUAAAGAAAAUCCACAGCCUCUUGAAGAGGCUUAAAUGUGAGUAAGCUUUUGUAGCCACUGAUGCUGUUGAGGAAGAGAUUGAACUGCUCAAGAAACUGCUGCCCGAGAUGGUGAGGUUUGAAGCCUCUCUGGAGGAGCUGGAACUCUCUAAGGAUGGGGGCUCGUGAUUCACCCGUGGAUUUGCGCACAUGCAAUGUAGCAAACCUGACUUUUAUUUCAGCCAAAGCUUAAUGUCACUGCCAGAAAACUGAGUAUGAUUUUUGGCCCAUGCUUGUUUACAAAUUGUGUAAGCCAUUAUAUAAUCAAGUAUAUCAUUGAGAUGUGUCUAGUAGAUGUAUAAUGGUUAUAUAUUGUGUGUGUGUAUAUGUGAUGAUUUCAUUAUCAUACCAUUUCACUGAACAGUCAAGUUCAUUGGAGUGAAAUCUGAUUACUUGCGUUUUAAAAAUUUUCCCCCUCCCCACAAACCC